GACGAACGCUGGCGGCGUGCUUAACACAUGCAAGUCGAACGGUGAAGCGCCUUCCUUUUUGGUGGGUGUGGAUGAGUGGCGAACGGGUGAGUAACACGUGAGUAACCUGCCCCCUUCUUCUGGAUAACCGCAUGAAAGUGUGGCUAAUACGGGAUAUUCUGGGUCUGUCGCAUGAUGGGUCUGGGCAAGAUAUUGUUUCGGUGGGGGAUGGGCUCGCGGCCUAUCAGCUUGUUGGUGGGGUGAUGGCCUACCAAGGCGGUGACGGGUAGCCGGCCUGAGAGGGUGGACGGGCACACUGGGACUGAGACACGGCGCAGCCUCCUACGGGAGGCAGCAGUGGGGAAUAUUGCACAAUGGGCGCAAGGCUGAUGCAGCGACGCCGCGUGAGGGAUGGAGGCCUUCGGGUUGUGAACCUCUUUCGCCAGUGAAGCAGGCCUGCCUCGUUUGUGGGUGGGUUGACGGUAGCUGGAUAAGAAGCGCCGGCUAACUACGUG
This 494-nucleotide ribosomal RNA is filed under the name uncultured bacterium. RNAcentral's name for it is "partial 16S ribosomal RNA". It matches the Rfam family "Bacterial small subunit ribosomal RNA", at positions 28 to 507 of the family's 1533-position model. The record is from RNAcentral.